Cryptomeria japonica (Japanese cedar) is the source of this 1796-nucleotide long non-coding RNA. RefSeq lists it as uncharacterized. The record is from RefSeq and is a predicted model, not a curated record. NCBI's taxonomy places the organism in Eukaryota, Viridiplantae, Streptophyta, Pinopsida, Cupressales, Cupressaceae. The transcript is spliced from 8 exons.
AGAAGUUAGCUAUAUAAUCUGUUAAGAGGAGUACAGAUUUUGUUCAGCGCUGCAACGCCAGGGUUUCCAUUUGUUCUGUUUUUGAUUGAUUGUUUGUCCUUUCAGUGAUUGUGUGUGAGAUGCUUAGUUUUGUUUCAGCGUGGCCACGCAUUUGAAUGUGUCCCGUUUCUUUCUGUGUUGAUUUUUGUGCGUGUUUUUUUAUUUCUUGGUUGUUUUUUUGUUUUGUGGGUUUUUCUUGUGAGGGUUGCAUGGCAGAGAUCAAAUUUGCGACAGAAGUUUAAAUUGUGUACUUCUUCAGCUUCCUCUGCUCUCUAAGCAGAAGAAAUAUUCGUAGACGGAUGUGGUGAUGGGACAUCUUUGUCUAUGAUCAAAAGAAGAAGAAGAUAUAUUUGCAAACGGAUGUGGCGAUGGGAAAUCUUCAAAGCUUCUUCUGGUUUCUAAUCAAAAGGGGAUUAUAAACAGGGGAAUAAUAGUGUGAACAUCGGUGAAAGAGCUUGUAUGCUUUAUGGCUCAGAUGGUUUGCGGAAAAGAACUGUUUGAGCCAGGCUCUGAACAAGCUGCAGAGUUUAGAGGCGUGGUAUGGGAAGCCCUUAAGUUGACAGGGAAGGAGCUAUGCACUAAAAGUAGCGACUAGCACAGAGGGCUGAUAUGCAGUGCAGCGGUAAUGAAGUGAAUGAUUUUCUGGAUGUAAUGCUGGAUUUGAGAGAAGAUGGCACACAACUUAGUCUGGAGAAGAUGUAAUUUUCUGGAUGUAGCAGCGGUUUCCAUACACCUCCCCCAGUUACCACAGCUGCAACUUCAACGCCUGAGUUUGUAGGUGUUGACAGGGGACAAAAUGUCCCAAAUUGAUGACAUCAUGCUCUCAGCGAUCGAUUUUGGCCUACAAAGCUAUACGGGUACCCCCUCCGUGUCUAGGGCUUGUCCUAAGAAAAGAAUUCCUUGAAGACGCCAAAACGUGUGAAGAAGGUAAUUGAACACAUUUUUAGUUGUACAAUUGUUUGAAAAUGUUGAAAUCAAGUAUUAGUUGGGGUUUGUAGAUUGAUUAGUGUUUUUUGUCUAUUUUACAUGUACAACGACCAUUGAGCUUUGUGGAUAUGUUGAAUGCACCUGAUUCGCCCGCGGAUCAAGAGAGGGCGAAGAUAUGUAUCUCUACUUUAUUUUCUUGAUUUCAUGAUUAUAUGCACGCGUACAUGUGAACUUGUGAUAUAUUAUAAUCUUAUAAUUUUUUCAUACAGGAAAUAUCCAUACCUAUUUCGUCAAUGGCGAACCCUCCUUGCACUAGAGAAGCAUCUCAGGAUCUAGUACACUUUUGUUUGAUAUGUAAAAUUAAUUGUUUUCAACAUUCAAUACUUAUCAUUAUAUUAAUUGUAUUUAAUCUUUAUACAUUUUUUGUAUAGGUAAUAGCGUCAGUUUCUACAUCGAUGGUGAGCCAUCCUCAGUCCAUUGGAGAAGCAUCUCAAGCACAGACUCCUUCGUGGUAUGACCAUAACGUGGAUCAAUUUAAGUAUGUCUUCAAGAAAACUCCUAAGAGUGACAAGGAGAGGAGAGCGAAGACAUUAGCUCUUGGAUCAGCCCAUGAGAGUCGCGUACUGUGUCGAAGAGGCUUGAUUUUGAUGAUCCACCAGAAGUUUAGGAUCAUAUAGUGUUAGUUUUGGUUAUAGAAUGACCAAUACAUGUAGAUAUAUUCUACAUUUUUAUUGUAUAUCGAUUUGGACAUGACAUAUGCCACAUUUUUGUAAUACUUGUAUUGACUUGGCAGACAUGCCUUUUUUUAUAUAUAUAAAUAUCGAUAUUCG